RNAcentral lists this long non-coding RNA (667 nucleotides) under Nicotiana benthamiana. Its description in RNAcentral is "long non-coding RNA (NBEN_LNC009312)". The record is from RNAcentral. Lineage: Eukaryota; Viridiplantae; Streptophyta; Magnoliopsida; Solanales; Solanaceae.
AACUUUCUUAGGUCGGCCUCUCCCUCUCGCCAUAGCACCCUCAGCGCAGGUUAACCUACAUACGCAGAGGUAGCAGAGAAGAAGAAGAUGAAGCAGGGAAAGUUUCUCUCUAGAAUUUUUUUAAUUUUGAGUUACUUUUCUCUCUACGUCCCUUUGUAGUAACUCAAACUUUUAGAUGAGGUGCUCCAACAAUUCAACACAUAAAAUCAAAUAAAAUAAUUAAAAGAUAAAUCAAGAGUCCAUGGAGACACCUCUAGAUUCGUAACUUUGAAAUUUCUACCAUAUUAAUGCUACUGGAAUCUGGUAAAGAUCAUCUCUUUGAGGUAAAAAAAAUAACAAAUUUUAUGGGUACAUAAAGAAACCAUUGAAAGCUGAAAUUUCCAAUUAAAGAGUAAAUAAUAAAAACUCAAUAUAUACAGAGUAAUGUUAAUAUAUACUCACUUUUUGAUAUACGAUCAUAAACGGCAGCAGACCAAACAACGCUAAUUUUCGAAGGAAGGAAAUUGAGGUUUCGGAUAGAAGGAAUUGUGAUGUGAAAAAGAAAGAAACAAAAGGAAAGAGAAGCGAAAAAGGAAAGGUGAAAUGCGGAGGGAAAAAGAGAAAAAGUGGACACAGUAUGCGACAUUAUAGGCUGACAGUUUCCAUAUUUAUAUGUUAUUUUUAGUGG